CGGGGUGAGUAAUGUCUGGGAAACUGCCUGAUGGAGGGGGAUAACUACUGGAAACGGUAGCUAAUACCGCAUAACGUCGCAAGACCAAAGAGGGGGACCUUCGGGCCUCUUGCCAUCGGAUGUGCCCAGAUGGGAUUAGCUAGUAGGUGGGGUAACGGCUCACCUAGGCGACGAUCCCUAGCUGGUCUGAGAGGAUGACCAGCCACACUGGAACUGAGACACAGUCCAG
Molecule: ribosomal RNA, 229 nt
Filed under: uncultured bacterium
Lineage: Bacteria
Description: partial 16S ribosomal RNA
Rfam family: Bacterial small subunit ribosomal RNA
Source: RNAcentral